GAUCCUGGCUCAGGAUGAACGCUAGCGGCAGGCCUAACACAUGCAAGUCGAGGGGUAACAGGGGAGCUUGCUCCCGCUGACGACCGGCGCACGGGUGCGGAACGCGUAUGGAACCUGCCCCUGUCAGAGGAAUAGCCCAUGGAAACGUGGAUUAAUGCCUCAUGGUAUUGUGAAGUUGCAUGAUUUUACAAUUAAAGAUUUAUCGGACAGGGAUGGCCAUGCGUAUCAUUAGCUAGUUGGGGAGGUAACGGCUCACCAAGGCGACGAUGAUUAGGGGCCCUGAGAGGGGGAUCCCCCACACUGGUACUGAGACACGGACCAGACUCCUACGGGAGGCAGCAGUGAGGAAUAUUGGACAAUGGUCGGAAGACUGAUCCAGCCAUGCCGCGUGCAGGAAGACGGCCCUACGGGUUGUAAACUGCUUUUCUACAGGAAGAAAGGUUCCCUUGCGAGGGAGAUUGACGGUACUGUAGGAAUAAGGACCGGCUAACUCCGUGCCAGCAGCCGCGGUAAUACGGAGGGUCCGAGCGUUAUCCGGAAUCAUUGGGUUUAAAGGGUCCGUAGGUGGGGUUCUAAGUCAGAGGUGAAAGGUUGCAGCUCAACUGUAGAAUUGCCUUUGAUACUGGAGCUCUUGAGUUAUGUUGCUGUGGCCGGAACAUGUGGUGUAGCGGUGAAAUGCAUAGAUAUCACAUAGAACACCGAUUGCGAAGGCAGGUCACAAAGCAUACACUGACACUGAGGGACGAAAGCGUGGGGAGCGAACGGGAUUAGAUACCCCGGUAGUCCACGCCGUAAACGAUGGACACUAGCUGUUGGGUUUUCGGACUCGGCGGCCAAGCGAAAAGGAUAAAGUAUCCCCCCUGGGGAGUACGUUCGCCAGAAUGAAACUCAAAGGAAUUGACGGGGGCCCCGCACAAACGGUGGAAGCAUGUGGUUUUAAUUCAUAGAUACACGAGGAACCUUAACCAGGGCUAAAAUAGGAGAUGAUCCGGGUCAGAAAAUGACCCCUUUCCUGGGGACAUCGUACAACUGUUCUGCGAAGAUUGUCCUACAGCACCCCACCGUGAGGUCACAGCCUAACCUCGAGUACCGAGUUACAACCCUAACACGAGCGCAGCCAGCGCCUCAAUUCCCAGAGUCUAAUCGGGGAUCUAACCCGACCUCCCGGUCCAACCGAAGAAGAAAGUGGGGAACAACUCCAAUCAUCCCGGCCCUUACUCCUGGGCUACCCACCUGCUACAAUGCUCGGUACAAAGAACCCCCCCGCGGGGGGGGUUUAAAAAACGUCACACUUCGGAUCGGGGUUCAACUCGACCCCGUGAAGCUGGAAUCGCUAGUAAUCGGAUAUCAGCCAUGAUCCGGUGAAUACGUUCCCGGG
Molecule: ribosomal RNA, 1378 nt
Filed under: uncultured Bacteroidota bacterium
Lineage: Bacteria; Pseudomonadati; Bacteroidota
Description: uncultured Bacteroidetes bacterium partial 16S ribosomal RNA
Rfam family: Bacterial small subunit ribosomal RNA
Source: RNAcentral